CUUGAGACUAAGAAGAAUAAGUGCUCAUUUUCCUUCCAGAAUCUCUCGGGAACGCUGCAGUAACAUCACAGACUAUCGAACAGGUACAAGAAGCAUCAUUUUACCAGUGAUAACCUCUGAGUCAACAUUAUUAUGCACAAGAAUUUCUGCAACCAAGAAACUAAGGGCAGGUCUACACAAUGAAGCAAUGUUGAACUAAGAUCCACUAAGUCGACCCCCGGGGAUUGAUUGAUGGAGUCCCAGGAAGUGUAGACCUGCCCUCAAGAUCAACUUUGUGAAAUGCUGAGAUUUCUACAAUAAUGGGGUAAAUAUACAUCUUAGAAAAGACUUAUAGAGCAUCUUGUCUUCUAUAGUAAACUAUAGUAACUGGUCCACCCUGAAAGAAGUCUUACAGAUAAGAUUUUUGCAGAAGGCUCUUCUGGUUAUGUAAGAUGGAGAAUAAAUUAUCAGACUGGCAUGCAGACCAAAUAUCAAUUUGCCACCUGUAAAUUCCUGAGUUAUCAGAAUAGCAAAUAGGUGAACUUUUAAUAUGAAUACAGUUUGGUAUAAGUUAGGGAUGUUAAGAAGCAGGUAUUUGAAUAAUUGUGUAGCCUACAAUUUUUUUUUGACUACACAAUUAGUUGAUAAGGGCAAGCACUCAGAACCCGCUUGCGCUGAGUCUGGGAGCUACCUCCACUGCAGCUCUGCAAU
Non-coding RNA from Pelodiscus sinensis (Chinese soft-shelled turtle), 690 nucleotides. The record is from RefSeq and is a predicted model, not a curated record. NCBI's taxonomy places the organism in Eukaryota, Metazoa, Chordata, Testudines, Trionychidae.